RNAcentral lists this long non-coding RNA (681 nucleotides) under Marmota monax (woodchuck). Lineage: Eukaryota; Metazoa; Chordata; Mammalia; Rodentia; Sciuridae. The record is from RNAcentral.
GUCUUACGUAACUACAGUAUACUCUUUUAAACCAGGAAAUUAACACUGUGCAAUGCUAUUUGCUAAUAUCAGACCUGAUCCAAAUUUUGCUGGUUGAGCAUUCAUGUCUUUUCUCUGGACCAGGAUCCAGUCCAGGAUCACUGAUGGCAUUUAGUUGUCAUUCUUCUGUACUUUUUUUUUUUUUUAUGGUGCUGGGGGUUGAAUCUAGGGUUUUGCAUAUGCCGAGCACAUGCUCUACCACUGAGCUAAAUGCCAACCCUCUUUUCAUUUUUAAUAGCUGCAUACAAAGGGUCACUGUUUUGGAGCAGUAUAAUCCAGUAGAAUGUUCUACAAAAAUGUUUUCUAUCUGCCCUGUCCAAGAUGGUAUCCACUAGUGACCUGUGGCUAUUGAGCACUUUAAAUGUGGUUAGUGGGUCUGAGGAAAUGGAUUUUAAAUAUUAUCCUAUUUUAAUUGUUUGAAAAAAAUACAUGUAUACACAUUUGGUGGUGCUGGGGAUUGAGCCCAGUCCUUGGGCAUGCUAGGCAAGUGCUCUACCACUGAGCUACACCCCCCACCUCAGUCGUUUGAGAUGUAAAUAGACAAGUGACAACCACACUGGACCACAGAGCCAAUCUGAGCUUCGCUUUCAGGUGCCAGGCAAGCACAGGUUGUGGGGCUCGGUCACCCCAGCAGGAGAGUAG